UACGUAGGGGGCAAGCGUUAUCCGGAUUUACUGGGUGUAAAGGGAGCGUAGACGGCAAGGCAAGUCUGAUGUGAAAACCCAGGGCUUAACCCUGGGACUGCAUUGGAAACUGCCUGGCUCGAGUGCCGGAGAGGUAAGCGGAAUUCCUAGUGUAGCGGUGAAAUGCGUAGAUAUUAGGAAGAACACCAGUGGCGAAGGCGGCUUACUGGACGGUAACUGACGUUGAGGCUCGAAAGCGUGGGGAGCAAACAGG
Molecule: ribosomal RNA, 253 nt
Filed under: Fusicatenibacter saccharivorans
Lineage: Bacteria; Bacillati; Bacillota; Clostridia; Lachnospirales; Lachnospiraceae
Description: partial 16S ribosomal RNA
Rfam family: Bacterial small subunit ribosomal RNA
Source: RNAcentral